RNAcentral lists this ribosomal RNA (519 nucleotides) under uncultured bacterium. RNAcentral's name for it is "bacterial SSU rRNA". It matches the Rfam family "Bacterial small subunit ribosomal RNA", at positions 19 to 518 of the family's 1533-position model. The record is from RNAcentral.
CUGGCUCAGAACGAACGCUGGCGGCGUGCUUAACACAUGCAAGUCGAACGCGAAAGGGACUUCGGUCCUGAGUAAAGUGGCGCACGGGUGAGUAACGCGUAGAUAACCUGUCUUCAUGUCUGGAAUAAUACGCCGAAAGGGGUACUAAUACCGGAUAUUCUUGCUUUUCAUAAGUUAUGCAAGCAAAGGUGGCCUCUGCAUAUGCUACUGCAUGAAGAGGGGUCUGCGUACCAUUAGCUAGUAGGUGGGGUAAUGGCCUACCUAGGCGACGAUGGUUAGCGGGUCUGAGAGGAUGAUCCGCCACACUGGCACUGGAACACGGGCCAGACUCCUACGGGAGGCAGCAGUGAGGAAUAUUGCGCAAUGGGGGAAACCCUGACGCAGCGACGCCGCGUGAGUGAGGAAGGCCUUCGGGUCGUAAAGCUCUGUCAAGAGGAAAGAAGUGUACAAUGGCUAAUACCUGUUGUAUUUGACGGUACCUCUAAAGGAAGCACCGGCUAACUCCGUGCCAGCCGCCGC